RNAcentral lists this ribosomal RNA (389 nucleotides) under uncultured bacterium. RNAcentral's name for it is "bacterial SSU rRNA". It matches the Rfam family "Bacterial small subunit ribosomal RNA", at positions 30 to 419 of the family's 1533-position model. The record is from RNAcentral.
AUUGAACGCUGGCGGCAUGCCUUACACAUGCAAGUCGAACGGCAGCACGGGAGCAAUCCUGGUGGCGAGUGGCGAACGGGUGAGUAAUAUAUCGGAACGUGCCCGGUCGUGGGGGAUAACGUAGCGAAAGCUACGCUAAUACCGCAUACGAUCUACGGAUGAAAGCGGGGGAUUGCAAGACCUCGCGCGAUUGGAGCGGCCGAUAUCAGAUUAGGUAGUUGGUGAGGUAAAGGCUCACCAAGCCGACGAUCUGUAGCUGGUCUGAGAGGACGACCAGCCACACUGGGACUGAGACACGGCCCAGACUCCUACGGGAGGCAGCAGUGGGGAAUUUUGGACAAUGGGCGCAAGCCUGAUCCAGCAAUGCCGCGUGCAGGAUGAAGGCCUUC